UCAAUCGUCCAACUUUCGAUAAAGUUGCAAAAAAAGUAAAUAAAAAACAAAAUCUUGUACAUAGUCCCAUUCAAAUCAAAAUCACAAGAUCCAUGAUUUGGCAACGUUGCAUACUUGUUCCAUGCUGUUCUCUAUUGUUCUUGUUUUUACCGGCAUUUUUCGUCCGUCUUUUUUGCCGGCGUCCGCUCUUGAAAUUGUGUUUCAAGAAAUUCGUAAUUAAUUGGUUAAAGUUGUUUAAAAUUUAGUUAUUUGAGUAAUUAUGGUGUUAAUGUAUCGGUUAGUCGUCGAAAAAUGCUUCGCGAGUCUGUUUUUCUCAUCGAGUAUUGGUAAGUGACGAUUCGAUGGCGGUCCCAUCUUAUUACAUAGCAGAGGUAUGGUUUUGUCUCACGUUUAUGCGUAUAAUUAUGAUUUCCUUCGUUGUUUGAGUAAUUUUUGUUACAAUGUAUCAGUUACUCGUUGAAAAAUGAUUCGCGAGUCUGUUCUUUUCAGCGAAUAUUAGUAAGUAGUGACGAUUCGGUGGUGGUUCCAUCGAAACACAUGGCAGAGCUAUGGCUUUGUCUCACGUUUAUGCGUAAAUUAUGAUUCCCUUCGUUAUUUGAGUAAUUUUUGUUUCAAUGUAUCUGUUAGUCGUCGAAAUAUGCUUCACGAGUCUGUUCUCGUUCAAAUAAUAUUGGUAUGUGACGAUUCGAUGGUGUUUCCAUUGAAACACAUGGCAGAGCUAUGGUUUUGGCUCACGUUAUUGCGUACCUACUUAUAUAUUAUGACCGCCGAUUGUGUUUGGUCGGUGUUUUACCGAAGCAAUUAUUUGUCGGUAAUGAAUGCGUUCAAAUAAGAAUUGAAAUUUUCAUGAAUAAAUCUAUGUCGGAAAAAACUAUUCCCAAGACGGCGAAUAGGUACUCAAAAGUACAAAACCAAGACGUACCUACACGAAACUGAAAAAGUACAAUGUUUUUCACCUGAAAUGGAAUGGUCAACUCUUAGUGAAGUUUUUCGCUUUUUUUUUAUUUUUUUACUGUGGAAAGAAGUUUAGGUAGGUACUCAAGUUCGUCUUUCGUGGACGAAUCUGAUUACCUUGAAUGUUGCACUCAGCCCAAUCAUCAAAUAUGACGAUUUUUGCAUGAAUAUCCGAUAUUUGCCUAUAAGUUUAUUUGGCCGGAAAUGGGGAAAGUCAGAAAGUGAAAGAGAAAAGUAUCUACAUUUAGUGCCCUUGAAACUGGCAACGAUGCAUGUAUAAUUUCGUUGUUAGGUUAGCAAUCAAUGUUGCCAACCACGGAACUCGCGAAACAUAAAUUGCUGCGAUUUGCUCCAUCCCCUCUCCUCUAAUCCUCUUAGCUCAAGGUGAUGAAAAAUGAUUGUUCUUGUCCUUCGAAAACUUGGAAAUGAGUACAUUGCAUAAGUAGCUUGAAAAUAUUAAGUAUCUAGUAUCUAUCUUGCAAUAAUUUCAGUCAUUCUCAAACUUCGAUGUUGUAUUAUAUACUCUACUCUUGAAUAUUGAAAGGAUAGAAAUUCGUAUUCGUAUGGAUAUUAUAUGUAUCACUAGGCAUCGAUUCAGUUUCGAAAAUAGAAAAAUAAACUUCGACUACUUAGAUACUUAUCUUACUUUUAUGUGCAAAAUUGUGCAGGAUGGGAUGGUACAUACUACAUAGUUACAGGGUGCCCAGAAAUAUCGUGAACCGCUAAAAAAAGUUUUCUGCUAAAUAUUUCGGUUGGUCACAGUGAAUGGUAAUAAUGAUUGCUCAUAAUUGGUUGUUUGACUGGAGAGAACGUUCCACUCCACCUAUCAUAUGCAUCUAUUUCACGUUGCCAACCUAAUAUUUUUAAUGAAAAACUUUCUUUGGGGUUCACGAUAUUUCUGGGCACCCUGUACUUGUAUUUAGGUAUGUUGUAUUAUUUCGCUGAAAGAAGACGUACUCUUAUCUUUCGGAUUCGUCCAUCGUUGUACAUUUAUUGCGUAGUUGAAAAGUGAACACUAUCUUUUAAUUCUCAGAAUUCAUUCUAGGUUCCAGGCGACAGAUAGGCGGCCAACGUAGACUGCAAAGAUAACACUACUCUUGAAGGAUAAAUCGUUCGGUUCGGUACUAAUCCUGUUUCGUCUUGUCGUUUGGUUAAGUUUUGUUUCGUUUCGUUUUGCCUUUUGCCUUCAGUGUGAAGUAGAUCAUCGUAUCGUGGUCGACUCGUAUCGUGAUAUUGUAAUCGUAUGCGGUCGUCAGCAAGUUUUCGUUUGCUGCAGUCUUCUUCGAGAACUAUGCUUUUUGAAAAUUCGUGAUCAACUCGAGAUGUUCGCGUGUAAGUGCGAAGCGAAUUUUGCGAAAAUUUAUUCGAGUAAUUUUUUUUGUCGAGUGGAGAUUUGCAAGUCGCGAUCGUGAUAAUGUUUUGUUCGGUUUUUUCACCCGCACUCCAGUGUUCCAGUAUGCUGCAAAGUGACCAAUUUUCGUCGAGUUGCUGUGGUAUUCAAACUUCGAAGUAUCUUCAAGAAUCAGAUGGUAGAAUAGAAAAGAACAGAAAGAAGAAAUGCGACCUGAUUUGAUAACGACUUGUAUAGUCUUCAGCUGUAUUCUGAUCGUCAACGAUGCCGUUGUGUACAACAGUCAAACUGGUGAGUAAAUUAAAACUUUUCAUUGUAUUCUUGGAUCUCGAAGUGUUCUUCUUGAAUUUGAUGAAAAAAAUUCGCUCCAUGUAAGUUAUUAAAACCUUUUAUUUAAUUUUUAAGAAUUAUGUUGCAAUGCCAGAGAAGAUUAGGUGAUUUUCGAAGGAUUUUUUUUUUUUAAAAUAUUGUUUUGGUUUCAAAGAAGCCAAUCGGAAUCAGCGAUUGAAAUAUUAUUGGAUGUUUACUUUUUGUUUUGUUCAAAUUGCAUUUGAAUGGCAAAAUUGAUUAAUUUUUUAAGAAGUUUCAAAUCAUAGCCAAGUACUUUCAACCCCCAGCAGUUGUUUGAUUAGAAAUGGAAAUUUUAGCUCUGUACGUAUUCAUCAUAAAUCUUCGCAAUUUUGAAUUUUUAAAUGGCAAUAAAUUUAUGAAUUUUCAGUUCAUAGCCAAUCUACAAACAGUAUUUCGACACAAAAGGCAAUAUCAGCAAUUACUGUUUAUCAAAACAAAACCAAAAGUACUGAUUCGGAAUUUAAUUUUUAAUGUUUUUUUAUUCAUGUACGAAUGAUUUUAUUUCAUUCGAUGUUCCAAUUUACGAGAAAUUCAUUCGACUCCAUUUCAACAAAAGUAGUUGGUCUACUGGUCUAGGUACAUUCUAUGUACUUUAUAAAUAUAAGGUAUAAAAAAAGAUCAAAAAAUAAAAAAUAGCUUCAAGUUGAUAUUUAAAAGCAAAUCUUAAGCAACCAAUGCAACCAUCAACCAAUAUGGUGAAGCAAAAUGCAAAAACUAUCUUGCAAUCAGCGAAUAGCUGAUGGCUCGUUCAGGUUUGAGAAAGAUAUCGUGGAGUAUUUUUCACUUCGUUUUUAUCAGCCAACAACUUUAGGGUUCCGCCAAUUAAAAUCGAAAACAGAACGAGUAUUUUCAGUAUUAUUGUUUUGAAAGUUUGUUUUAAGGUCAAAUAAUUCGAAUGCCUGUUGCGAUUUGCGAAUAUUUGUUUCGUAAAUAUUUUUAUACCUAAAUAUUUUAUGAAAAUGCUGCCAAAAUGCGGACCAUAUAAAUUUGGAAAAUAAUUUCAAAUAUUCACAAUAAUAUACAAUAUACCUACAUAUUAACUUUCUUUUCUUUUUUCAUUUUCUUUGCCACGAUGUAAAAGAAAAGAAAACCAAAAAACUAAAGUCUGAAUUGAAUAAUAAUUUUUUCAAAUUUUUGAAUUUUUGAGAAAAUCUUGUUAACAUAACGAUUUUUGGUUUGUAUUUAUUCCUGUGUGUGGUGAAACACAGAAAUGGUCAACAUUGCUGCAAAAAUAUCAAGUUGAACAAAAAUAUUCUGAGCACAAAACCUCCCCAUUCGGUUUAUUAUGUACUUGCUGCCAAGCAAACAUUUUCAAUUUUGUCCCCUUCUCUAGGUAUAUCUACUCAAUUUAUCCAUUAUCUCUCACCUAAUUGUUUUCCAUUAUACAUAAUUAUAGUUUUUUUCCACUUUAAUUUUGAUCGAAAAAAAAUUAAUCACUUUGGUUAGGUAUAUAAAAAAUUCUCCGAAAAAAAAGAAUUUUUUUAUCUUAAUCUGAGGAACCUUUUCGCCAGGUCUCCCGGACCUCGCUUGUUUUUUUCUAUUUUGAAAUAAAUUUAUCAUGUCACAAAGGAGUUCUUGUUUGAGAACAAAAAAAAAAAAAAAAAUUGAACGCAUUACGCAUUCAACUAUUGCGCAUUGAAGCAGUCGAAGCAUCCAACUGGCAAGAAGCAGAUGCAAAAACUAUCUUGUAAUCAGCGAAUAGCUGAUGGCUUGUUUUUUUAACAUAAUGUGCCACUGAUUUAUGUUUGCUGGUACAUAUAAUAAUGUAUGCCUACUUCAGUAACGUCAGACCAUUUUAAGCAUUUCUUAGAAAUUCGUUGACUUAUUUUGUUAAAUUUGAAUAACUUUGUGAAUUCCAUUCUACAGAAUAAUUUCUUUUUUUUUGGUUAUAUGUAGUACCCAUUAAGGCUCAUUGUUGGAAAAAUGAUUCUAAAAAAAAUGUUUCCAACAUUUUGUGCAAUGUUGGAGCCUCUUUAAUUGGCUUGAUUUUCUUCUGAAUUUUCAUCUUCAAUAUUCCAGAAGCAGAUAGGGCCAGAGUAAGAAAAUCUGAAUCUCGGUUUAUAUACUAGAGUAUAUCCUCCCUCCCUCCCUCCCUCCCCAAAAAAUCGUUUGGCGCUAUUUUCAAUCCGAUCAGGAGCCUCUGGCAAAAUUCAAUUUUUCUUCAUAAAUUUCAAAUCGCUGCAGAAGGCUUUGUAAUCAACUUGGGUUGCUGAAAACUUCACCUUACCAUAAGUUUGACAUUCUAAAUCGAUUAUGGCUGGUGAAUCGAAAAUCCAAAAUAGACUAGUGGAAAAGUGUAUUUUUUGCAAGUUGGAAAGUCUC
Molecule: long non-coding RNA, 4978 nt
Organism: Planococcus citri (citrus mealybug)
Lineage: Eukaryota; Metazoa; Arthropoda; Insecta; Hemiptera; Pseudococcidae
Exons: 3
Source: RefSeq, a predicted model, not a curated record